Long non-coding RNA from Contarinia nasturtii (swede midge), 1037 nucleotides. RefSeq lists it as uncharacterized. Lineage: Eukaryota; Metazoa; Arthropoda; Insecta; Diptera; Cecidomyiidae. The record is from RefSeq and is a predicted model, not a curated record. The transcript has 3 exons.
AGUGACUUGCUGGAGAGUGUAGGCCACGGAUUGAACUUAACCUCGAAAUUAGUUUGUAUAUGUAUUGUUCAGUGGUGCGUUCACAAUAUUUUUUCGUAUCAAAAUCACACCAAAUUUUUGGUGAAAUACCAUGACAGCUACUUUUGUUGUGAAUAGCCCACCUUUAGGUUUUCAGAGCAGACACAGGGCCGUAUCCAGGGGGGGUGAGAAAUAAAGGUCACAACAUUUUUUUUGGUACUUUUAUUGAAUUUGAGCGGAAAAUUGAAGUUGGAAAAGUAUAAAAAAUUGUUUUUCCAAUCGUUUUGCAAGUUUAUUCCAAGUGGCAGCGCGAAAGAAACAUACGUAAAUAUUUUGCUCAUGAGUUUUUGAUAAUCUUCCUUAUGAUUUUGUAUGAAGAUAUUUUAAUAAAAUUGAUGAAAGACUUUGAAAUUGACCAACCUGAACCACGGUCACAAACCACGGCGCCAACGCUGUACUCGACUUACUGACUCUAUCGUAAUGGAGACACUUGGAGUUGAUCAUCGAAGCAUCACAUCGAAGUUGAACAAACUCUAACUGAAGUUGAAAAGAAAACAUUGUUGGCGAAGUCUAAGUACUUUGAUAUAAUUGACCGUGUUUCAAAUGAAUUGAGAAAUCGCUUUGAAGAAGACAGCGAUAUUCUGACUGCUAUCACUGAAGUAAACAACAUAUGUAAUGAUAAUUUCGAUCGAAACGCUCUUGAAUCAUUAACUCACAUCAAUUUGAUUUUGCCCUCGGAAGCUGAAUUAACCGUGGUGAAAGCGUUUUUAUCAAAAAAUGAAAAGGAAGAUGGAAAUACUGCGUUGCAACAUUUGUUUCCUGUAAGAGAAGGUGUGAAAGAUACAUAUCAUCUUUUAGAAGCAGCUAAAACAUUUGGAAGUAGUACUGCGAUAGCUGAAAGCUCUUUCUCCGCAUUAUCAAGAAUAAACACAGUGCGUCGUAUGGCGAUGACAGAUAAACGCCUAUGUAAUCUAAGUUUCUUGGCAUUUGAAAAAACUAAGUUAAACGCUUUAGAGAAA